GUGGUGCCGGAACUCCUAUUGCCUGGGGUUUCAAGGAGGAGACCCUUGAGUGCAUCUGGGUUACACCACGGCUGACAUUUCCUUCUCCAGGGGAUCUUCUCGACCCAGUGAUCAAACCCAGGUCUUCUGCAUUGGAGGCAGAUUCUUUACUGUCUGAGCCACCAGAGAAGCCCUUUAUUUUAUUUAAUAUGUUUUAAUUUUAAACUUUGGGCCUAUCAAGAAAGAAAGGAGCUGAAAUGCCGGUAAGUUACCAAAAUCGCAAUUUUAUACCAUAUUGCCCUAGUGUUGUGAACUUUUUCAAAUUUACAGUGACUUUUGUCCCAGGUUUGUCAGAGAGAAUUGGCCAGUAUGUUUUAUAUUCCUGCUGGGAAACUGAGGCUCAAGGAGAUGCACAAUAAAGACUCAGCUUGGGGCAGAUAUCCAGCCAGCCAGGCCAGCAGCUCACCUCAAAGGUUACCUGGGAAGGGCCUUGCUUCAUCGCACGGCUCUAGUUUCCUCUCAAAUAAGGGCAGAAUGGGAAUCCAACAGUAAGAGACUGUGAGUAGAACUGGAUCCUGACAUUUCUGAGGAAAAUAACUGUGAUGAACACCUACCAACCGGGCAAUGGAUUUGGAUUUGGCAAUGAGAGAAUGGAUUUGAAUGAAAGGAGACACUGAACAGAGAUGUGGAAUUGAUUAAACCUCAUGGACUGAGGUCACGAAGAGUCAGACACGACUGAGCGACUUUCAUUUCACUUCAGCUAAAAUCAGAGUUGGAACGGGCCUGUAGAGGGAGCUCUCACCACCCAACCAAGCAUCUUCAAUUACUCUAAAAAGGAAGCUAUUAAUGCCUACCUUACCUCUCCUGCAGGAAGGAGUUGCUUACUUCACUAUCCAGGGGGAAGAAGAAAAGUUUUGUCUGCCAGAUGACAGCCAAUCAGAGACUGACAGUCCAACCAAUAAGAAGCAUUCAUACUUUGGAUUCUUAGCUUCUUCCAAUGGACUCUGAUUAUUUCAGCUCUUCCCAAGUGCCCUCUUUUCCUAUUAAAAACAAGUUCCUCUUCUUUGUUCUCUGGCCUAUGCUCUGCCAUAACUGGCAUAUCCUGAACUGCAAUUCUUCUGGCUGUUCUUGACUAAACUGGCUUUUGCUGGUUAAAUAACUGGCUAUUUUAUUUUUGAUGGUGACAGAGGCAUUUUAAGUAGCAGCCAUGAUGUCACAAAAGCAGGUAGAGACCUGAAUCUACCUGAGAAUACACCAUCAAAGUGGCAGCUUGGAGCUGUUAGGCUUGACAUGGGCUCCCUUGGAGAAUGGAGACCCAAGGAGAGUUUAAGUAUGUAAGUGGUUCUAGUUGAAAGUGGAAGAGCAUCCCAGUGAAAUACCACAAUUUGAGUUGGCAAACAAAGAUUAAUAUAAAAGUGUGUGCCUAGGAAUGACAAACCUAGACAGUAUAUUAAAAAGCAGAGACAAUACUUUGCCAACAAAUGUCUAUAUAGUCAAAACUAUGGUUUUUCCAGUAGACAUGAAUGGAUGUGAGAGUUGGAACAUAAAGAAGGCUGACCACCAAAGAACUGAUGCUUUUGAAUUGUGUUGGAGAAGAGUUUGAGAGUGCCUUGGACUGCAAGGAGAUCAAACCAGUCAAUCCUAAAGGAAAUCAGUCCUGAAUAUUCGUUGAAGGACUGAUGCUGAAGUUGAAGCUCCAAUACUUUGACCACCUGAUUCGAACAGCCGACUCAUUAGAAAAGACCCUGAUGCUGGAAAAAAUUGAAGGCAGGAGGAGAAGGGGAUAACAGAGGAUGAGAUGGUUGGAUGGCAUCACCAACUCAAUGAACAUGAGUUUGAGCAAGCUCCUGGAAAUGGUGAAGGACAGGGAAGCCGGGCAUGCUGCACUCCAUGGGGUCUCAAAGAGUUGGACAUGACUGAGUGACUGAACAACAAAAAGGAACACAGUAUAUGACUUCUAUACAGUAAAGAGGAUGUUGCACUGGGUGAGAAGGAAAAUUUUCCGCUAUCAAAUAGCUUAACCAGAACAGAAUCAAAGAGGGAUAAAUCCACUGAAGCUGUGUUCAGUUCACCCCGAAUGGGAGACUACAAUAAUACUUGGCUAUUAAAUUUAUAUAAUCUUGCCCAAAAACACUGCCUUUGGCUUUGAAUUGUCUGAAUGAUCUUGCCCUGAAGUCACUGUUCCACAUUCUGUAAGGGCCUAGGAACCCUAGUAGUCCAGGCAGUAAACUGUGUAUGUGUGUUAGUCACUCAGUCGUGUCUGACUCUUUGCGACCCCAUGAACUGUAACGCACCAGGCUCCUCUGUCCAUGGGUUUCUCCAGGCAAGAAUACUGGAGUGGGUUGCCAUUUCCUUCUCCAAGGCAGUGAAAUAGCUUUAAACUAAGGUGGUUCAGCCAGGUCUCUCCAUACCUCUGUAGUUUACUAGCAGCACCCAAAACAGAAGCCCCUCAGAUCCCGUGUUCUCUCAUAAUGUUAUCUCCAUGGCACACUGCUCUCCUGCCAGCUUCCUUCAAAGCUUAACCUUCACAGCUCACAGAAACAAGCUAUUGUAACGUUCAUAAUAAGCAUUAGUCAUAAUGUGAGGAUAAGGGUGCUUGACUGAGCUGAGAUGCAGGACACCAGCUGGGCUCACCACAAGCUAAGGGUCUGGCUCGAACAUCUGAGAUUCAGAUUCUUCAUUCACAAGUUAUAGUAUGCCUGCCGAAUGCCAUGAAUCCUCAUGUCACCUGAGACUAGUUGCAACUAAAUAUACAGCAGUUCUGGGUCUAUUGUAAUUUAUGUGGAAGUGCUGUGAAAACUUGAAUGCCAUAGCUUUCCACCUUUUUCUUGGUCACAGACCGCUCUGAAUGUCUGGUGAAAAUUUGGACCCAUUUUUAAGAGAAAUACACACCAAUAUGCUUAUGAUGUUUUGCAUAUAAUGUCAAGAAGUUCACACAUCUUCUGGUGUACUAUAGAUUCCUUUAUCUAAAGGAAUUUAUAAGUAUGUUAUUAAUUAAGAGUAUCUUUUUACAUUUAAGUGAACAGCACAAUGUAGAUUUGUACAUUUAGUGCCAUCUCAGUGAUACACUAUACAUAGCAAAGAAUACAUGUAUAUAGAAAAGCCUGGGAAGAUAUGCACUAAAAUGUAAAUAUUUGGAUGAUGAGAUUGUGGUUGGUUUUAAUUUUCUUCCCUGCAUUUUGUUUUGUUUUCCCAAUUUAGAAAUACUUUCACUAGUUAAUUUGCACAAAAAUAACUGUUUCUUGUGACAUUAUAGAAAUACUGAACAGAGCUUUUGGAUGCGCUGAGUCACUUCAGUCGUGUCCGACUCUGUGCGACCCCAUGGACUGUAGCCCGUCAGGCUCCUCUGUCCAAGGAAUUCUUCCAGCAAGAAUACUGGAGUAGAUUGCCAUUUCCUUCUUCAGCGGAUUUUCCCAAUCCAGGGGUGGAACCUGGGUCUUUUGCAUAGUAAACAGAUUAUUUACCUACUAAGCCACCAGGGAAGCAAAUCUAAAAAGACAUUCUAGUGGGCACUCCUUUAGAUGGCUGCUUCAUUCACAGUAUUUAGGAGUCUCGGGCCUUAGGUGAGCGUACCCUGAGAACCUUCUUCUGACCUUCUGAUUGGUUCAUGGAGGGGCGGGGCUUGACUCAGCUAAACCAAUCAGUGUGUUUCCCCCAAGGUUUUUCUGAAUUCGAGCAAGGAGACAGUUUCUCUGUGGUGACAGAAGCUGUGAAUGAGGUCUGGGGGUUUUGAAGCGGGAGGGGGCCAUAUUACCUGCUGGCCUGUAAAUGAGAGAGAGAGAGAGAGAGACAGAGACACCCGGUAGUUCCUGGGGCCCAGCUGCUCCCCAGUCCUUCUUGCAUUUUGUUUUUUUCAAUUCUUCCUUUGCUUGUAUACCUUUGACACGUAACAAUAGAUUUCCUUUUUGUCUGAACUAGUUAGAGCUGGGUUUCAGGCACCUGAAGCCAAGUCGACACAAUUAGCAGAAGUAUUAUAAAUUAAAUGUAUUAUAUUAUAUAUUAUUUUAUAUAUAAUGUAUAUUAUACAUUAAUAUAUAUAUUUAUAUAUUUAUAACUACUCAAGAGUAAAAUUUGACCCAAGCUGUGAAAGAAAUGAAAUCAACAAUAUUUCUUGACACAGAAACUGGCUGGCUUAGGGUGCCUGGCUCUGUGCAGGAAAGAGGAGGUUCAAAGAUCAGAAACAAACCAGCAUGAUUGGCUCAGGUCCUUAGAUCGUUCUGUUCCUUUAGGAGGUAGAACUUGUCUUCUUGGCUCUGUGUAGAAACAGACAAUAACAGGAUUGUUCAAACCUUGGUUAUAGCCAUAAAAAUUACAAGUCUCUUCUCUCAUUUAUGAGCGUGAUGCUCGGGAUAACAAAUCUACAAGUGAAUGAAAGAUAAAUGUAUUUUCCAACUCAAUGAGCUAGAAAUUAAUCCCUGCAUUAAUUUGGCAACCUGAAAAUAUCUGAGCUCUGCUGAAGAGAAAAAUCUCAGCAAAUUGGUAGAGAUGCUCUGCAAGAAUAAUCGCUUUACAUGUGAGUUUGUGCUCUCCAUAGAAUAGCCAGUUCCUUUUCAGUACAUCUUUAGUUGUGAUGAAAGUAGUGAAAAAAUACUGAGACAUGACUUAAUUGUCUUAGGAACACUUGACACUAUGAAAUUUUAGAACAACUUUUUAAAAAAUAAUUCAUCCAAGCAAAAGCUUCUUCAAAUUCAAUCUUAUCCAAAUCCCUACUGAAAGUGUGGAAAACUGUAUUUUUUCCAUGGGCAAAUGUGUAUUUCUAUUGAGUUUAGAAAUGGUCUGGCAAGGAUAAUGUUGUAGGUAGGCCAUGAUGGAGUCAGUUCCACCUUUGGAGGCUGGUUAGGGUUGCACAGUCAAGGGGAAAGAGUUUAUACCCAGACUGACUCUAAGAUAAUGAGACCAAUUUAAAUUUUUUUAAUUCAAUAUACUAUAACCUGCAUACUGUAAGUAAAAGCUAUGCUCACAUUUCUUGAAGAUUGAGAGAUAUUUCUUAUCACAAUAUUUUAAACCAAGACUUUGAGCCAUUUGCCUGAUAUCUUUAGAUGAUUCUGGAUUUGUAGCUAUGAAACCAGUAUUUUCAACCAGGCUUCCAAACUAGUUAGAAU
This 5081-nucleotide long non-coding RNA is filed under the name Cervus hanglu yarkandensis (Yarkand deer). RNAcentral describes it as "lncRNA (ENSCHYG00000023058.1)". The record is from RNAcentral. Lineage: Eukaryota; Metazoa; Chordata; Mammalia; Artiodactyla; Cervidae.